This 486-nucleotide long non-coding RNA is filed under the name Helianthus annuus (common sunflower). Its description in RNAcentral is "hypothetical non coding rna". Lineage: Eukaryota; Viridiplantae; Streptophyta; Magnoliopsida; Asterales; Asteraceae. The record is from RNAcentral.
GGAGGGAAAGUAGCGGAGAAGACAUUGUUAAAUCUGAUCGAGUUAUUGAUGAACCAACUACUUAAAUUGGAUGGAAUUACCGCGGAUGGAGAUGUAAAACUACAGAGAAAAAUGCAGGUGAAAAGGGUUUAGAAGUACGUGGAAACGCUUGAUGUGUUAAAGAUUAAGAACUCAACCGCAGGGACCAAUGAGAAUGGGGAUGCGAAACAAGUCCAGGAGCCGCCGGCUUCACAGCGCCAAGAGCAUAUAAUUUCAAACGGACAUAUGAAUGCCGCCUCACCAAAUCAACAUGACCUGUUACGAAAAAAAAGAAUAUAGAGAUGGAGAAUCAGAUGUGUUUUUUUUUUUUUUUUUGCUGCUGACCUGUUGUUAAUUAGAAUUGGAUUAAAAUUAAAAUUCAAUCUCUUUGAUGAAUGAGAUGCUUAGUUCAGAUUUUAAUGACUCUAUUACGCUGUAAUGUUAUAUAGAAUCUGUUUGCUGCUGUUA